UACGUAGGGUGCAAGCGUUGUCCGGAAUUAUUGGGCGUAAAGAGCUCGUAGGCGGUUUGUCGCGUCGGCUGUGAAAACCCGAGGCUCAACCUCGGGCCUGCAGUGGGUACGGGCAGACUAGAGUGCGGUAGGGGAGAGUGGAAUUCCUGGUGUAGCGGUGGAAUGCGCAGAUAUCAGGAGGAACACCGAUGGCGAAGGCAGAUCCCUGGGCCGUAACUGACGCUGAGGAGCGAAAGCAUGGGGAGCGAACAGG
This 253-nucleotide ribosomal RNA is filed under the name uncultured bacterium. Its description in RNAcentral is "partial 16S ribosomal RNA". It matches the Rfam family "Bacterial small subunit ribosomal RNA", at positions 524 to 776 of the family's 1533-position model. The record is from RNAcentral.